Molecule: long non-coding RNA, 2266 nt
Organism: Rhincodon typus (whale shark)
Lineage: Eukaryota; Metazoa; Chordata; Chondrichthyes; Orectolobiformes; Rhincodontidae
Exons: 3
Source: RefSeq, a predicted model, not a curated record
ACUGCGCCUGCGCGCCGUCGUAUCGAGCCCUAAGGCUCAGGAUUUGGCAGGUGGACGCUGGCAGGGAUGCACGGCUCCCCUCCCCCUCGGCUCUCGUGGGGCGCUUGUUCCGUCGUCUGGGAGGCGACCGGGGAUGGGUCAGCGAUCAUCCUGGAUGAAGGGAAAGAAAUCCAACCCGCCCCACAAGUUCUGUGUACUUGUGGUGAGAAAGUUCCAUGCGGUAUGCCAACUUACCCGGCUGCAUGGUGCAGUAGGAGCGCCGUGGGCCCCAGCCCUCGCCCUCUUCCCGGGCGCGAGCCGCAGCCGUUGGCCAUUGUCUUGAGGCUGGCGCCGCUCGCGCAGCCUCGGGCCAGCGGGAGGUACCGCUGCCACGGGGCCCGGCCGCUCACCCAGUGAACGCGUCUCCUAGAAAGAUACCGUUUAUACCCCAUUCCACCCCCUCUUUCCCGUUCAACCCCCCCUGAAUGUUUAAGGAUAACCUGACGACGACUCCUGUGAAGCAGAGACGCCAAUAUUGACCUGCGGUAUUUAGCUCGACGUUAUGCAUGCAAUUCACCGAGUAUUUACCGUGUCCGCUGCCUAUAUUGCUUUCCUCGGUUCAGUGCUGCAUCGUGCGAUUCUCGCCAUGGGAUUUGGGGUGGACUCCUUCACAAGCAGAGAGAAGGUCAUUGAUGAUACAGCUCAAGGUGCUACACUGAGGAACACAGAGAUACCCUGGAGGUGAAGUGACUGAACUCCAACAACCACAACCAUCUUCCUUUGAGCUAGGUUAGUACAAUAGAUUACUGCUUUAACGACAGUCAAGAAGCUUGACACCAUCAAAGGAAAAGCAGCUACACUUGAUUUGCAUCCUAUCCAUCAAGUUAAAGAUUCAUCUCCUUCACCUCAGCAUAACGUGGUUGUAUUAUAUUCCACCUACAAUUUACAUAGCAGGAACCAACCAAGCCUUUGACAGAACUUUCCAAACUCAUGACCUCUACAACCUGAGAAGGACAAGACAAUACGAUGGAAACGCCACCAACUACAAGUUCUCCUCCAAGCCACAUACCCUUCUUACUUACAACCACGUUGCCAUUCUUUCAUUAUUGCUGGGACAACAUCCUGGAAUCACAGCGCUGUAGAUAUACCUGCACCACAUGGAGUGCAGCAGUUCAAGAAACAGCUAACCACCACCUUCUCAAGUGUAAUUAAGAAUGGACAAGAAAUGCUGAUUUGGCCUAUGAUAUUUGCUUCUGUAAAACAAUUUUUAAAAACAUCAGGCUGGAGGAAUGGGUAGGCACAUAGCAGAUGAAAGUCAGUACAAAAAUUGUGGAGUGUUACAUUUUGAUACUGAGACUGAAGGGAGACAAUAGGUGCUAAAUACUGUAAUUUUAAAUGGGUUACAAUAGAGAGACCCAAAGGUCUCUCAAGUUGGCAACACACGUUAAUAUAUAGUUAAUAAAGCUUACGCGAUUUGGCUUCAUGAAUAGGGGUUAAGAGUACCUCAGGUAGGAAGUCUAUACUAUGCACCUAUAUAAAACUCAAGUUCAGUCCCAGCUGGAAAAUUAGAUCCAGUUGCAGGCACUUUACGAAGAACAUUCAGAGAUUACAGAAGGGAUUUAUUAAAAUGAUGAAUAAUUACAUGGAUGGACUGCAGAAGCUAAGAUUUUUCUGCUUUGAACAGAGAAGGUUAAGAGGAGAUUAUAGUGGGAUUUGAAUCAUGAAGAAUUUAGAUUCAGGGUGUACAGUAAAUAAAGAGAAACUUUUUCCAAUGGCUGAAUAAUUGAAAACUAUGGUGUACAGACUUAAGUUGAUUGGUAAGACAAUCACAGGCGACAUGACCAUAAAUUAUUUAAUGUAAUGAGUAGUUAGGAGUUGGAAAUCAUUGCCUGAUAGGGUAGUGGAUACAGAUUCAAAUCCAGUCCUUUAAAAAUAAUUGAGCAGAUACUUGAAGAAGAAAAAUGCAAGGAUGUGAAGAAAGAGCACAGGAAUGGAACUAACUCUUUGACCAAGCUGAUAGCAACGUGCUAAAUCAUCACUUCUUGUGCAAACUAUUCUAAAAUUCUAAGGCUGAAUUUUCACAUUUGCAGUUAAAAGGUGAUGGCAAGCAAGUUUCAUGACAACUCCACCAUACCUGAGCCAUCUUUUCUCAUGCUAUCUUAUGCUUUUGACCUUAUUAAUUAUGCAAAUGAGAUGUUGUUUGUCUUACUCGCUGAAUCUCAUGAUGAUUCUCAUCACCCUGCUACAGGAAAGAUGUUGUGAAACUUGAAAGAGUUCAGAAAAAAUU